RNAcentral lists this ribosomal RNA (2921 nucleotides) under Staphylococcus aureus KINW6066. RNAcentral describes it as "bacterial LSU rRNA". It matches the Rfam family "Bacterial large subunit ribosomal RNA". Lineage: Bacteria; Bacillati; Bacillota; Bacilli; Caryophanales; Staphylococcaceae. The record is from RNAcentral.
UUAAGUUAUUAAGGGCGCACGGUGGAUGCCUUGGCACUAGAAGCCGAUGAAGGACGUUACUAACGACGAUAUGCUUUGGGGAGCUGUAAGUAAGCUUUGAUCCAGAGAUUUCCGAAUGGGGAAACCCAGCAUGAGUUAUGUCAUGUUAUCGAUAUGUGAAUACAUAGCAUAUCAGAAGGCACACCCGGAGAACUGAAACAUCUUAGUACCCGGAGGAAGAGAAAGAAAAUUCGAUUCCCUUAGUAGCGGCGAGCGAAACGGGAAGAGCCCAAACCAACAAGCUUGCUUGUUGGGGUUGUAGGACACUCUAUACGGAGUUACAAAAGACGACAUUAGACGAAUCAUCUGGAAAGAUGAAUCAAAGAAGGUAAUAAUCCUGUAGUCGAAAAUGUUGUCUCUCUUGAGUGGAUCCUGAGUACGACGGAGCACGUGAAAUUCCGUCGGAAUCUGGGAGGACCAUCUCCUAAGGCUAAAUACUCUCUAGUGACCGAUAGCGAACCAGUACCGUGAGGGAAAGGUGAAAAGCACCCCGGAAGGGGAGUGAAAUAGAACCUGAAACCGUGUGCUUACAAGUAGUCAGAGCCCGUUAAUGGGUGAUGGCGUGCCUUUUGUAGAAUGAACCGGCGAGUUACGAUUUGAUGCAAGGUUAAGCAGUAAAUGUGGAGCCGUAGCGAAAGCGAGUCUGAAUAGGGCGUUUAGUAUUUGGUCGUAGACCCGAAACCAGGUGAUCUACCCUUGGUCAGGUUGAAGUUCAGGUAACACUGAAUGGAGGACCGAACCGACUUACGUUGAAAAGUGAGCGGAUGAACUGAGGGUAGCGGAGAAAUUCCAAUCGAACCUGGAGAUAGCUGGUUCUCUCCGAAAUAGCUUUAGGGCUAGCCUCAAGUGAUGAUUAUUGGAGGUAGAGCACUGUUUGGACGAGGGGCCCCUCUCGGGUUACCGAAUUCAGACAAACUCCGAAUGCCAAUUAAUUUAACUUGGGAGUCAGAACAUGGGUGAUAAGGUCCGUGUUCGAAAGGGAAACAGCCCAGACCACCAGCUAAGGUCCCAAAAUAUAUGUUAAGUGGAAAAGGAUGUGGCGUUGCCCAGACAACUAGGAUGUUGGCUUAGAAGCAGCCAUCAUUUAAAGAGUGCGUAAUAGCUCACUAGUCGAGUGACACUGCGCCGAAAAUGUACCGGGGCUAAACAUAUUACCGAAGCUGUGGAUUGUCCUUUGGACAAUGGUAGGAGAGCGUUCUAAGGGCGUUGAAGCAUGAUCGUAAGGACAUGUGGAGCGCUUAGAAGUGAGAAUGCCGGUGUGAGUAGCGAAAGACGGGUGAGAAUCCCGUCCACCGAUUGACUAAGGUUUCCAGAGGAAGGCUCGUCCGCUCUGGGUUAGUCGGGUCCUAAGCUGAGGCCGACAGGCGUAGGCGAUGGAUAACAGGUUGAUAUUCCUGUACCACCUAUAAUCGUUUUAAUCGAUGGGGGGACGCAGUAGGAUAGGCGAAGCGUGCGAUUGGAUUGCACGUCUAAGCAGUAAGGCUGAGUAUUAGGCAAAUCCGGUACUCAUUAAGGCUGAGCUGUGAUGGGGAGAAGACAUUGUGUCUUCGAGUCGUUGAUUUCACACUGCCGAGAAAAGCCUCUAGAUAGAAAAUAGGUGCCCGUACCGCAAACCGACACAGGUAGUCAAGAUGAGAAUUCUAAGGUGAGCGAGCGAACUCUCGUUAAGGAACUCGGCAAAAUGACCCCGUAACUUCGGGAGAAGGGGUGCUCUUUAGGGUUAACGCCCAGAAGAGCCGCAGUGAAUAGGCCCAAGCGACUGUUUAUCAAAAACACAGGUCUCUGCUAAACCGUAAGGUGAUGUAUAGGGGCUGACGCCUGCCCGGUGCUGGAAGGUUAAGAGGAGUGGUUAGCUUCUGCGAAGCUACGAAUCGAAGCCCCAGUAAACGGCGGCCGUAACUAUAACGGUCCUAAGGUAGCGAAAUUCCUUGUCGGGUAAGUUCCGACCCGCACGAAAGGCGUAACGAUUUGGGCACUGUCUCAACGAGAGACUCGGUGAAAUCAUAGUACCUGUGAAGAUGCAGGUUACCCGCGACAGGACGGAAAGACCCCGUGGAGCUUUACUGUAGCCUGAUAUUGAAAUUCGGCACAGCUUGUACAGGAUAGGUAGGAGCCUUUGAAACGUGAGCGCUAGCUUACGUGGAGGCGCUGGUGGGAUACUACCCUAGCUGUGUUGGCUUUCUAACCCGCACCACUUAUCGUGGUGGGAGACAGUGUCAGGCGGGCAGUUUGACUGGGGCGGUCGCCUCCUAAAAGGUAACGGAGGCGCUCAAAGGUUCCCUCAGAAUGGUUGGAAAUCAUUCAUAGAGUGUAAAGGCAUAAGGGAGCUUGACUGCGAGACCUACAAGUCGAGCAGGGUCGAAAGACGGACUUAGUGAUCCGGUGGUUCCGCAUGGAAGGGCCAUCGCUCAACGGAUAAAAGCUACCCCGGGGAUAACAGGCUUAUCUCCCCCAAGAGUUCACAUCGACGGGGAGGUUUGGCACCUCGAUGUCGGCUCAUCGCAUCCUGGGGCUGUAGUCGGUCCCAAGGGUUGGGCUGUUCGCCCAUUAAAGCGGUACGCGAGCUGGGUUCAGAACGUCGUGAGACAGUUCGGUCCCUAUCCGUCGUGGGCGUAGGAAAUUUGAGAGGAGCUGUCCUUAGUACGAGAGGACCGGGAUGGACAUACCUCUGGUGUACCAGUUGUCGUGCCAACGGCAUAGCUGGGUAGCUAUGUGUGGACGGGAUAAGUGCUGAAAGCAUCUAAGCAUGAAGCCCCCCUCAAGAUGAGAUUUCCCAACUUCGGUUAUAAGAUCCCUCAAAGAUGAUGAGGUUAAUAGGUUCGAGGUGGAAGCAUGGUGACAUGUGGAGCUGACGAAUACUAAUCGAUCGAAGACUUAAUCAA